Molecule: ribosomal RNA, 440 nt
Filed under: uncultured bacterium
Lineage: Bacteria
Description: partial 16S ribosomal RNA
Rfam family: Bacterial small subunit ribosomal RNA
Source: RNAcentral
CCUACGGGGGGCAGCAGUGGGGGAUAUUGCACAAUGGGGGAAACCCUGAUGCAGCGACGCCGCGUGUGGGAAGACGGUCUUCUGGAUUGUAAACCACUGUCCCCAGGGACGAAAAUGACGGUACCUGGGGAGGAAGCUCCGGCUAACUACGUGCCAGCAGCCGCGGUAAUACGUAGGGAGCAAGCGUUGUCCGGAAUUACUGGGUGUAAAGGGAGCGUAGGCGGGGAUGCAAGUUGGGUGUCAAAACUACCGGCUCAACCGAUAGUCGCACUCAAAACUGCAACUCUUGAGUGAAGUAGAGGCAGGCGGAAGUCCUAGUGUAGCGGUGAAAUGCGUAGAUAUUAGGAGGAACACCAGUGGCGAAAGCGGCCUGCUGGGCUUUUACUGACGCUGAGGCUCGAAAGUGUGGGGAGCAAACAGGAUUAGAUACCCUAGUAGUC